This 935-nucleotide long non-coding RNA is filed under the name Homo sapiens (human). RNAcentral describes it as "HSALNT0095726". The record is from RNAcentral. Lineage: Eukaryota; Metazoa; Chordata; Mammalia; Primates; Hominidae.
AAAAUUAAGAACAGAAAAUAUGAAAGUGUAGUAUAUAUGGUGAAGUUAAGAAUUGGUUCAUAAAACCUUGGUUGCAGGAUGUGCUCUGGGUCACAAUGUGAAAUCUACUUCUGCUAUAGGUCAGAGUCAGUGGAAAGUCACUAUUGUAGCCGGUACCUAACAUGUUAAAGAGAAAGUCUAUAUAGUCUUACUCAGUAUGAGUCACCACUGGACAAUAUUCAAUAUUCACCACCUCCUCAAUAUUCAAAUCCUGGAUAGCCUGAGAAAGUCAAUGACAUGCAUUGUGCUGAGAUCAUGUGGUUCAGGUUAGAACAGUUUUUCUGGGCUUUGACUGAAUCUCACAGAUCUAAAUGUGUUUUUAUUGCCAUGUUUGCUAAAUGUCCUUGGUAAAGAGUGGAGACUCCAAGGAACACUGGUCAAGAACAGCUGCUUUCUCCUACUGACUUUCUGUGUUUAUGAAGAUCCCUUGUUUUCCCAGACUUCAAGACUCAAAACUUCAAGAUCAUAUUGGACUCCUUUUUUGGUUCUCACCUUCUCCAUUUAAUCCAUCAUGAAAGUUUACAUCACUCAACCAAUUCGAAAUCUGUCUGGCUGGGCUCUAAACCUACUUCACAGUGUUCAUUCUGGCAAGAAGGUGUCAUGAGAGUGUCUCUUGAUUGACUCAAUUGAUGAGACCAGAAAUAAAUACAACAUGACAUCAUGGUAGGAACAGUUUUCUAUCUCUAGCUUAAAAUAAAUCUAAAACAUAAUAGGAACUUAUUAGGAAGAACAAUGGCUUUGUAAUUUUCUGUCAUUUAAAAAAUAAAGAAAAUUCUCCUUUCACAGGAUUAUUAAAUGCUCAUUCCAAAGUUUAAAAAAUAUUACUUGUAUAUGACUAUAUUUUAUUUCACUUUAUAGUAAGUUCCUUCUAUAGUCCUGAAUAUAUGGGUUGCUAG